UCCAGACUCCUACGGGAGGCAGCAGUGGGGGAUAUUGCACAAUGGGGGGAACCCUGAUGCAGCGACGCCGCGUGGGUGAAGGAGCGUUUCGGCGCGUAAAGCCCUAUCGGCAGGGAAGAAGGAGGACGGUACCUGACUAAGAAGCCCCGGCUAACUACGUGCCAGCAGCCGCGGUAAUACGUAGGGGGCAAGCGUUAUCCGGAUUUACUGGGUGUAAAGGGGGCGCAGACGGCAGCGCAAGCCAGGAGUGAAAGCCCGGGGCCCAACCCCGGGACUGCUCUUGGAACUGCGUGGCUGGAGUGCAGGAGGGGCAGGCGGAAUUCCUGGUGUAGCGGUGAAAUGCGUAGAUAUCAGGAGGAACACCGGUGGCGAAGGCGGCCUGCUGGACUGCAACUGACGUUGAGGCCCGAAAGCGUGGGGAGCAAACAGGAUUAGAUACCCUAGUA
Molecule: ribosomal RNA, 446 nt
Filed under: uncultured bacterium
Lineage: Bacteria
Description: bacterial SSU rRNA
Rfam family: Bacterial small subunit ribosomal RNA
Source: RNAcentral